GACGAACGCUGGCGGCGUGCUUAACACAUGCAAGUCGAACGGAAAGGCCUCUUUCGGGGGGUACUCGAGUGGCGAACGGGUGAGUAACACGUGAGUACCCUGCUCUUGCCUUUGGGAUAACUUCAGGAAACUGGGGCUAAUACCGGCUAGGAGCUCCUGCUGCAUGGUGGGGGCUGGAAAGUUUCGGCGGUUGGGUAUGGACUCUCGGCUUAUCUGCUUGUUGGUGGGGUAGUGGCUUACCAAGGCUUUGACGGGUAGCCGGCCUGAGAGGGUGACCGGCGACACUGGGAAUGCGACUCGGCCCGGACUCCGACGGGAGGCAGCAGUGGGGAAUAUUGCACAAUGGGUGGAAGGCUGAUGCAGCGAUGCCGUGUGCGGGAUGACUGACUUCGGGUUGUAAGCCGCUUUCGCUCAUGACGAGGCUCUGUGUGACGGUACUGGAUAAAGAAGCACCGGCUAACUACGUG
RNAcentral lists this ribosomal RNA (467 nucleotides) under uncultured bacterium. RNAcentral's name for it is "partial 16S ribosomal RNA". It matches the Rfam family "Bacterial small subunit ribosomal RNA", at positions 28 to 507 of the family's 1533-position model. The record is from RNAcentral.